UUUAUUCAUUAGAAAUAAUCAAUACACCGUCCGUGAGGAUAGGUACAAUUUCACAUAAAGGUUCCUCAAACCAAUGUGAGGUCAAAGAAAAUCUAGCUAAUUCAUGAGCUGCUUUAUUUGCUUCUCUAUUACAAUGUUUGAAUCUUGAAAUAGUGAAGUCACAGGCGUAAUGAAAACAAUCAUCAAAGAUCAUUAUCAUCACUCCCGUCGAGUGUCCUCCAUCCUGCAUUGUUUCAAUCACCUAUAGAUUAUCUGGGUUAAUAAUGAGGCGGUUACAUCCCUCCCUUUGCACUAAUGUGAGACCAAAUUUGAGAGCUAGAGCCUCCGCAGUUAAAACAUCCAUGCAAUAAUCAAUCUUCUUGUUUCCUCCAG
RNAcentral lists this long non-coding RNA (372 nucleotides) under Hordeum vulgare. Its description in RNAcentral is "long non-coding RNA (HVUL_LNC004053)". The record is from RNAcentral. Lineage: Eukaryota; Viridiplantae; Streptophyta; Magnoliopsida; Poales; Poaceae.